Molecule: ribosomal RNA, 666 nt
Filed under: uncultured bacterium
Lineage: Bacteria
Description: bacterial SSU rRNA
Rfam family: Bacterial small subunit ribosomal RNA
Source: RNAcentral
CUUCGCGAAUUAGAGACCGGCGCACGGGUGCGUAACGCGUAUGCAAUCUACCUUUUACAGAGGGAUAGCCCAGAGAAAUUUGGAUUAAUACCUCAUAGCAUAGCAACUUCGCAUGAAGUCACUAUUAAAGUCACAACGGUAAAAGAUGAGCAUGCGUCCCAUUAGCUAGUUGGUAAGGUAACGGCUUACCAAGGCUACGAUGGGUAGGGGUCCUGAGAGGGAGAUCCCCCACACUGGUACUGAGACACGGACCAGACUCCUACGGGAGGCAGCAGUGAGGAAUAUUGGACAAUGGGCGCAAGCCUGAUCCAGCCAUGCCGCGUGCAGGAUGACGGUCCUAUGGAUUGUAAACUGCUUUUAUACGAGAAGAAACACUGCUUCGUGAAGCAGCUUGACGGUAUCGUAAGAAUAAGGAUCGGCUAACUCCGUGCCAGCAGCCGCGGUAAUACGGAGGAUCCAAGCGUUAUCCGGAAUCAUUGGGUUUAAAGGGUCCGUACGCGGUUUAAUAAGUCAGUGGUGAAAGCCCAUCGCUCAACGGUGGAACGGCCAUUGAUACUGUUAAACUUGAAUUAUUAGGAAGUAACUAGAAUAUGUAGUGUAGCGGUGAAAUGCUUAGAGAUUACAUGGAAUACCAAUUGCCAACGCAGGUUACUACUAAUGGAUUGA